RNAcentral lists this ribosomal RNA (390 nucleotides) under uncultured Rosenbergiella sp. RNAcentral's name for it is "bacterial SSU rRNA". It matches the Rfam family "Bacterial small subunit ribosomal RNA", at positions 958 to 1347 of the family's 1533-position model. The record is from RNAcentral. Lineage: Bacteria; Pseudomonadati; Pseudomonadota; Gammaproteobacteria; Enterobacterales; Erwiniaceae.
AACGCGAAGAACCUUACCUACUCUUGACAUCCAGAGAAUUUAGCAGAGAUGCUUUAGUGCCUUCGGGAACUUUGAGACAGGUGCUGCAUGGCCGUCGUCAGCUCGUGUUGUGAAAUGUUGGGUUAAGUCCCGCAACGAGCGCAACCCUUAUCCUUUGUUGCCAGCACGUAAUGGUGGGAACUCAAAGGAGACUGCCGGUGAUAAACCGGAGGAAGGUGGGGAUGACGUCAAGUCAUCAUGGCCCUUACGAGUAGGGCUACACACGUGCUACAAUGGCGCAUACAAAGAGAAGCGACCUCGCGAGAGCAAGCGGACCUCAUAAAGUGCGUCGUAGUCCGGAUUGGAGUCUGCAACUCGACUCCAUGAAGUCGGAAUCGCUAGUAAUCGUCU